Molecule: non-coding RNA, 101 nt
Organism: Elasticomyces elasticus
Lineage: Eukaryota; Fungi; Ascomycota; Dothideomycetes; Mycosphaerellales; Teratosphaeriaceae
Source: the annotation of a GenBank genome assembly
GGGGAUGUGGUCCAACGGAAAGAUACUGCUCCUCGUGCUUGACUACCGUCCUGCACAUCAGAGAAAAUGCAGUGAUGCCUGUUCGACUCCGGCCUUCUCCA